AAAAUCCGUUGGUCUUUAUAGGACCGGGAGGGUUC
This 35-nucleotide transfer RNA is filed under the name Gymnosphaera khasyana. RNAcentral's name for it is "Alsophila khasyana partial tRNA-Leu". The record is from RNAcentral. Lineage: Eukaryota; Viridiplantae; Streptophyta; Polypodiopsida; Cyatheales; Cyatheaceae.